RNAcentral lists this long non-coding RNA (649 nucleotides) under Canis lupus familiaris (dog). RNAcentral describes it as "lncRNA (ENSCAFG00000054042.1)". Lineage: Eukaryota; Metazoa; Chordata; Mammalia; Carnivora; Canidae. The record is from RNAcentral.
AUGAAGAAAUCAGAGCUCAGAAAGAUCCAGUUCAUUUGUCCAUUCAGCAGCUGUUGCCUACCUGCACACUUCCGUGAGCUUUCCCAGGCAUGUUCGGUAUACUAGUCCCAAGACACAGGGCUUGUCUUCAAGAUAAUCUGAAGAAUUGAGACCUGGGGAUAGCACCCAAGAAGAGGGAAGAUAUGGGUUGACAACUGAGACAUUUCCUGGAUUGUUCAUAUCAUGUCACAGCUGGACUGAGCCUUAGAAGUGUUAUCUUUCCUUUUGACCUUCAUGGGAAUGAAGAUUCUGAAAGAUGGUGGUGCAGAGCGGAGAUGAGAGCUCAGUGUACUGGGUUGCUAUGGGUGAUGACGAGGAAAGAUUCUCUGAAAGUGAAAAUGAGGACCUCUCUCACGCUGGCCAGGGAACCAUCAUACUGUCAUCACAGCUGGAUAUGACAGGUUCCAGGAGUUUAGAAAUUGUUCUUGACAUGGUGGGAAGCAUUUUCAUGUCCUCGCACCAGGAAUACGUCAUUUCCUAUGUAAGUGGAGCCACCCCCCCCCUCCGCCCCAGCCCUUUCUCUCUGGUUACCACGGCUUCUUUUUCCCCAUGGUGCUCAUCACCACAUAGCGUGUCCCGUAUCUGUCACUUUUCUGUCUUUACCCACUAG